UACUGUAGGUGGAGCGGUCGCUGGAAGGGGCCAAUUGCACAAUCUUAGAGAUCCAACGGAGACUGAGAGCAAACUUUGAACACAAAAGUAGGGCAAGGAAUCAGUUCUGGUCAAGUUAAUGAAUCUAAAUCUAUAGAUUUUGUUUUACUAUUUUAGCAUAAUCUAACAAUCAAGUAUCAUUGAUCUACCACGCAGUGACCAUAAUGUAAAAUAAUCAAUAUUGUGCAGAAGAUACCUGCUGGAGUCGUUGCUGUCGUUGGGUGGAGUCAAUUGGACAAUUGAGGAUAUCCAACAGAGAUUUGGCGACAUCCAAGGGGCGCCCAUAUGAAGGUGAACAUGAAGUGAAACUUGGAAGCGCUUGCAAGUCUGACGGAAUUGGAAAUUCAGAUUGGUUUCAGGUGUGCGUGAUGGAAUUAUGUUCUAAAAAUUGUGUUACAUUACAUGUGUGCGCCCAUCCAGUCUCUGAUCUAGCUUGUUGUUUGUAUGUGUGUAUUCGUAUUCUAGAAAAAAAAAACUAAUCAGCAAGAAACUUGCCAUCGGGCAUGUGCUAACAAAAGGAAAAAUUGAAUAGGUUAGCUUGAUCAAUCCGGCGUCCACAACUUGGUGAUUGCUUUCCGGCCAGAUGCGCUGGAUUGCUAUGGCUGGAUGCUAAUAAUAAUAUAUGUGUGUUAGUUACUAUACUGUAUUACUGUACAAAGUAAUCAAGCAAUCAACCUCUUGUACUCCCUCCGGUCCUUUUUACUCUGCACAUUGGUUUUGCCGAAAGUCAAACUUUACUAAGUUUGACCAAAUUUAUAUUAAAAAUUAUCC
This 810-nucleotide long non-coding RNA is filed under the name Triticum aestivum (bread wheat). RNAcentral's name for it is "long non-coding RNA (TAES_LNC011956)". The record is from RNAcentral. Lineage: Eukaryota; Viridiplantae; Streptophyta; Magnoliopsida; Poales; Poaceae.